GAUGAACGCUAGCGACAGGCUUAACACAUGCAAGUCGAGGGGCAGCGGGGGAGCAGCAAUGCUCCUGCCGGCGACCGGCGCACGGGUGAGUAACACGUAUGGAACCUGCCCGCUGCAGGGGGAUAAGCGGAAGAAAUUCCGUCUAAUACCGCGUAACACCGCGGAGGGGCAUCCCUCGGCGGUUAAAGAUUCAUCGGCUGCGGAUGGCCAUGCGGCGCAUUAGCUAGUCGGCGGGGUAACGGCCCACCGAGGCGACGAUGCGUAGGGGUUCUGAGAGGAAGGUCCCCCACACUGGUACUGAGACACGGACCAGACUCCUACGGGAGGCAGCAGUGAGGAAUAUUGGUCAAUGGCCGGGAGGCUGAACCAGCCAAGUCGCGUGAGGGAAGACGGCCCUACGGGUUGUAAACCUCUUUUGUCAGGGAGCAAGAGGCGGGUCGGGACCUGCUGUGAGAGUACCUGAAGAAAAAGCGUCGGCUAACUCCGUGCCAGCAGCCGCGGUAAUACGGAGGAUGCGAGCGUUAUCCGGAUUUAUUGGGUUUAAAGGGUGCGCAGGCGGAGGCACAAGUCAGCGGUAAAAUCGCGGGGCUCAACCCCGCUCCGCCGUUGAAACUGUGUCCCUUGAGUGCGCGAAGGGUAGGCGGAAUGCGUGGUGUAGCGGUGAAAUGCAUAGAUAUCACGCAGAACUCCGAUCGCGAAGGCAGCCUACCGGCGCGCAACUGACGCUCAUGCACGAAAGCGUGGGUAUCGAACAGGAUUAGAUACCCUGGUAGUCCACGCAGUAAACGAUGAAUGCUAUCUGUCCGGCCGGAAUGACGGCUGGGUGGCACAGCGAAAGCGUUAAGCAUUCCACCUGGGGAGUACGCCGGCAACGGUGAAACUCAAAGGAAUUGACGGGGGCCCGCACAAGCGGAGGAACAUGUGGUUUAAUUCGAUGAUACGCGAGGAACCUUACCCGGGCUCAAACGACGCAGGGAUGUAUGUGAAAGCAUACAGUCCUUUCAGGACCUGCGUCGAGGUGCUGCAUGGUUGUCGUCAGCUCGUGCCGUGAGGUGUCGGCUUAAGUGCCAUAACGAGCGCAACCCCCAUCUUCAGUUGCCAUCAGGUAGAGCUGGGCACUCUGGAGAGACUGCCGGCGCAAGCUGCGAGGAAGGCGGGGAUGACGUCAAGUCAGCACGGCCCUUACGUCCGGGGCGACACACGUGUUACAAUGGCAGGUACAGCGGGAAGCCAGGCGGCGACGCCGAGCGGAACCCGAAAACCUGUCUCAGUUCGGAUCGGAGUCUGCAACCCGACUCCGUGAAGCUGGAUUCGCUAGUAAUCGCGCAUCAGCCAUGGCGCGGUGAAUACGUUCCCGGGCCU
Molecule: ribosomal RNA, 1362 nt
Filed under: uncultured bacterium
Lineage: Bacteria
Description: bacterial SSU rRNA
Rfam family: Bacterial small subunit ribosomal RNA
Source: RNAcentral